GGCGGGGGGGGGGGGCGCCGAGCGCGUCCUCGCUCCGGGGCGCCGGCGGUCCGUUCGCAUGCACCAUUGGAAAAACCGCGCAACCGAGGCGGUCGGCGAGUCAAGUCUCGGUGUUGGCUCUUCCCAGAGCUGCUCGCAGAGAGAAAGUCCCCAAGAGACCGAAAGCACCAGACGGAGCAACAGUGAUGGACAGAGCAACACUAGCUAUUCACAGCUUGGUUUGUUCCCCUCGGCUUCUUACAGAUACAGUAGCCGCCGCCGCCGCCGCCGCUUCCUCUUCUCGCCUCGCCGGCAGCACCGGGAAAGAGCGGCGCCGGAGAAAAGGAGUCCUCGGGCCCGAGCCGGGGGGAGCGGCCGUCGCCUCGCUGCAGCCCGCGGCGUUUCCCGCGGCGUUUCCCAUGGAGUUUCCUGCAGCGUUUCCCAUGGCGGUCCCUGCGGCGUUUCCCGCGGCGUUCCCUGCGGCGUUUCCCAUGGAGUUUCCUGCAGCGUUUCCCAUGGCGGUCCCUGCGGUCUCCGCCGCCGCUCAGAUCCGUUUCUCGUGGCGUUUCCCGCGGCGUUUCCUGCAGCGCUUCCUGCAGCUUUUCCCGCGGUCUCUGACACUCCUCGGAUCUGUCUCCUGCGGCAUUUCCUGCAGCAUUUCCUGCAGCGUUUCCCCUGCAGCGUUUCCCGCAGUCUCCACCGCCACUCGGACCCGUUUCCCGCAGCGUUUCCUGCAGUCUUCACCGCCACUUGGACCUGUUUCCCGCGGCGUUUCCCACGGUGUUUCCCGUGGUCUCCGCUGCUGACCCGUUUCCCACGGCGUUUCCCCGUGGCGUUUCCCACGGUCCCCGCCGCCGCUCAGGACCCGUUUCCCGCGGCUUCGGGCCGCCCCGGCUCCGGAAAAAGCACCGUGGCGGCGGGGGCGACGGCCGUCGGCUCGGCUGGGGCGAGCUCCACCGCGAGCUGGGGCUACUGUAUCUGUAAGAAAAGAUUCCUCAAGUUGCAGAAUACGUAAUUCAGUUCGUUGGAAAACCCUGGCGUCGGAGCGCGCGCACGCUCCCAGGUGGCCGUCGAGCCGGGAUUCCCACCAGCCGGCACGCGCGCGAGCUGUACAGGUUCGUCCAUCUCCUUGUAAGCUGGUUUGGUGUUCUGGGUUGGUUUUUUUUUUGUUUGCUUGCUUGGUUUUUUUUUGUUAUUUUAAGAUCCGCUCCGUUGUCG
This 1197-nucleotide long non-coding RNA is filed under the name Apteryx owenii (little spotted kiwi). Its description in RNAcentral is "lncRNA (ENSAOWG00000015187.1)". The record is from RNAcentral. Lineage: Eukaryota; Metazoa; Chordata; Aves; Apterygiformes; Apterygidae.